AGAUGAACGGGUCAUAGAAAAAGAAACGGUACAGCAAAGUGUUUUAUGCACCAUGUGAAGUGGAUGAGCUCCAUCAAUACAAAUACACCGUCCACACACACGUUUACUUUAAAGGCUCAUUUCUAUAUUCUAGAUAGCUUCACUGUAAACAUAGACAGGUGACAUCAGGAUUUCUCCAUGUUCCGUGUUCCAUGUUCCGUGUUCCAUGUUCCAUGCUCCAUGUUCCAUGCUCCAUGUUCCGUGUUCUAUGCUCCAUGUUCCGUGUUCUAUGCUCCAUUCACCACAGCAUUAGAAACACAGUCUGAGGCACAUUUAGUCAGUUAGUUUCAAACUUCACAUCUACACACACUGAAGUUUUCCGGACAGAAACCUGCAGAAAGCGAUCGUGACGCCUCAGGAGUCUGAAGAGGAGAUGAAGACGCGUUCUGCUGCACUCAACAGAGCUCGAGACCAACAGGACGCCAUCAGGACGCCAUCAGGACGCCAUCAGGACGUCAUCAGGACGCCAUCAGGACGCCAUGUCAUCAGGACGCCAUCAGGACGCCAUCAGGACGCCAUGUCAUCAGGACGCCAUCAGGGCGCCAUCAGGACGCCAUCAGGACGCCAUCAGGACGCCAUCAGGACGUCAUCAGGACGCCAUCAGGACGCCAUGUCAUCAGGACGCCAUCAGGACGCCAUCAGGACGUGCUGAGAGUCGCCCCCUCAGGAGCAGCUCCAGAUCUACGCAUGACUCAGAUAAGCGGACAACACACACACACACACACACACACACACGUACUCAGAGACAAACUAACAUGUAGAUGUACACAAAGACACACUAAUCUGUAGAUGCUAAGCAAACGCUUUAAGCCACUGAGGCAUUUUGUCCAGAAACCCUCGUUGACGCGCCGCUGUUGUCUCAUGACGGAUGAAUGAGAGUCCUGUAGCCUUUGUGUUGUUGUAAACAAGUCCACUUAUUUGCCAAUUUUACACAUAUGUAUACAUACAUAUAUAUACAUAUGUACACAUAUACAGAUUAAUAUUUAGAUGUACACAUAGACACAUUAAUAUUGAGAUGUACACAUAGAUCAUUAAUAUUGAGAUGUACACAUAGAUCAUUAAUAUUGAGAUGUACACAUAUACACAUUAAUAUUGAGAUGUACACAUAUACACAUUCAUAUUUAGAUGUAUACAUAGACACAUUAAUAUUGAGAUGUAUGCAUAGAUCAUUAAUAUUGAGAUGUACACAUAGAUCAUUAAUAUUGAGAUGUACACAUAGACACAUUAACAUUUAGAUGUACACAUAGAUCAUUAAUAUUGAGAUGUACACAUAGACACAUUAAUAUUGAGAUGUACACAUAGACACAUUAAUAUUGAGAUGUACACAUAGAUAAUUAAUAUUGAGAUGUACACAUAUACACAUUAAUAUUGAGAUGUACACAUAGAUCAUUAAUAUUGAGAUGUACACAUAGAUCAUUAAUAUUGAGAUGUACACAUAGACACAUUAACAUUUAGAUGUACACAUAGACACAUUAAUAUUGAGAUGUACACAUAGAUCAUUAAUAUUGAGAUGUACACAUAGAUAAUUAAUAUUGAGAUGUACACAUAGACACAUUAAUAUUGAGAUGUACACAUAGAUCAUUAAUAUUGAGAUGUACACAUAUACACAUUAAUAUUGAGAUGUACACAUAGACACAUUAAUAUUGAGAUGUAUACAUAGACACACUACCUGUAAGAGCCGAUUUAUGAUGUAUGGCAGCAUCUGAUUGAUGGGCGGGUCAGCCUAUAUACGAUAGGAACCUUUGGGGGCUCGGCAGGUGUUUCUAGCCGGUAUAAGAAAAUCAGUUUUGACUUUGAACGUAGAGACUAAGCAAACGCUUUAAGCCACUGAGGCAUUUUUUCCGGAAACCCUCAUUGACGCGCGGCUGUUGUCUCAUGACGGAUGAAUUAGAGUCCUGUAGCCUUUUUGUUGUUGUAAACAAGUCCACUUAUUUGCCAAUUUUAGUCCUGUCACACGUUUACCAUACAUCAUGGAUACAUGGGAGUGUGGAGGGGGAGACAGAGGAGUGAUUAAAUAGAUAAAUGAGAUGUGUUGAGAAAUGCACUUUAAGAAAUAAGUUUUGGAAGUAUGUUCUAAGGAGGGCAGACAGACCUAAUAAUUGAGUCUGAGAGGUUAACAUAAACUCACAGACGCAUUAACUCCGGAAGGUUAGUAUAAACUUUCGGCAUAAAUUAAUUCUGCGAGGCUAACAUAAGCUCGUGGACACAAACAUUUUCUCUGAAAGGUUAGUAUAAACUUUCAGCAUAAAUGAAUUCUGCGAGGCUAACAUAAGCUCGUGGACACAAACAUUUUCUCUGAAAGGUUAGUAUAAACUUUCGGCAUAAAUUAAUUCUGCGAGGCUAACAUAAGCUCGUGGACACAAACAUUUUCUCUGAAAGGUUAGUAUAAACUUUCAGCAUAAAUUAAUUCUGCGAGGCUAACAUAAGCUCGUGGACACAAACAUUUUCUCUGAAAGGUUAGUAUAAACUUUCAGCAUAAAUUAAUUCUGCGAGGCUAACAUAAGCUCGUGGACACAAACAUUUUCUCUGAAAGGUUAGUAUAAACUUUUCAGAACAUAGCUGUCUGCCCGGGUAAAAUACAUACGAAACUGGUUGACUGUUGUUAAAUGGAAGGUGAAUUUGAUGAAGAAGAGGAGGACGGGCGGCUGGGAGCCGG
Long non-coding RNA from Gasterosteus aculeatus aculeatus (three-spined stickleback), 2695 nucleotides. NCBI's taxonomy places the organism in Eukaryota, Metazoa, Chordata, Actinopteri, Perciformes, Gasterosteidae. The record is from Ensembl.